UCAAGAUGUACACCUGCAUAAGCACACACACACACACGAGAAGACAUCAGCGGCCCUGCACGUACGGGUUUGUGCGUCAAGGGGCGCAUGCAGACGCACAUUGGUAAUUUUUUGGUUGUCUUUUCGCUAUCGGCCCUCUCCACGGCCCCGCCACCUCUCUGUUUGCAUGUAGAAUAGAGCAGCGCUUUUUCCCCGUUUUCAGUGCACCAUUUCAACACAAACACGCCGACAGAUAUAUAAACGCGCGCACAACCGCCUCUCCUCCACCUCUGCUGCACCGCGGCGAUGGCAAGGAACCGCACCUGCCAGCGCUGUUGGGUGUCGUUCAGCCCACCGCAAUGCCACUGCAUACAGCAUACGCUAGGCCCAGGAGUACGCUCAACACCGCUGCAAUGCAGCAACGACAGAAAAAAAGCACGCUGCUGGUGGAUGCGUGCAUUCGUUGCAUCGCGGGCACGGCUUGUGGCGAGCUCGCCCAAGCGUCAUCGUGGCCGUGUGUCUCUUUCGCACAGCGCCGAUACCGACGUGUACGCUGACGUCAAGAGCCCGCCAGCCGUACCCGAGGGCAGGCUGCAGACUGCUUGCAGUCCCCCACAAAGAGUGGGGGUAUAAUGAGGCCCUGAUACCACGGUGAGGGCCCCCAACAUCAUCUAGGAGCACUUGAAGACUCAAAAGGAAAAUUCGGAAGUGCGAAAGAGUAAGGGAUAUUAUUGCCUCUAGUUGGGUGAGUGUUGUAGCGCCACCGCAACCCCUUCGCUCCCCUCAGAUAUCCGUGUGCAGCGUAGGUUGUCAUCAUCGGCAAGGGUCGCCGCGUCUUUUUGGGAAGGCAGCUGCUGAGGAACGCGCUCGGUGACGACCGUGCCGCCGCUCACGCGAUGGUCUCUCUUUCUCUCUUAUCUCUCCCUCUCAUUCAGCUCUUUACUCACCUCGCCACUCCUCUUGCCCGGUUCGCCACGUAACGCGGAUGGUCCCCGCUUGGAGCUGAGUAG
Molecule: unclassified non-coding RNA, 989 nt
Filed under: Leishmania donovani
Lineage: Eukaryota; Euglenozoa; Kinetoplastea; Trypanosomatida; Trypanosomatidae
Description: gene:unknown
Source: RNAcentral